Molecule: ribosomal RNA, 746 nt
Filed under: Streptomyces lincolnensis
Lineage: Bacteria; Bacillati; Actinomycetota; Actinomycetes; Kitasatosporales; Streptomycetaceae
Description: bacterial SSU rRNA
Rfam family: Bacterial small subunit ribosomal RNA
Source: RNAcentral
GCCAUGGGCAUCUGUGGUGGUUGAAAGCUCCGGCGGUGAAGGAUGAGCCCGCGGCCUAUCAGCUUGUUGGUGAGGUAACGGCUCACCAAGGCGACGACGGGUAGCCGGCCUGAGAGGGCGACCGGCCACACUGGGACUGAGACACGGCCCAGACUCCUACGGGAGGCAGCAGUGGGGAAUAUUGCACAAUGGGCGCAAGCCUGAUGCAGCGACGCCGCGUGAGGGAUGACGGCCUUCGGGUUGUAAACCUCUUUCAGCAGGGAAGAAGCGAAAGUGACGGUACCUGCAGAAGAAGCGCCGGCUAACUACGUGCCAGCAGCCGCGGUAAUACGUAGGGCGCAAGCGUUGUCCGGAAUUAUUGGGCGUAAAGAGCUCGUAGGCGGCUUGUCACGUCGGGUGUGAAAGCCCGGGGCUUAACCCCGGGUCUGCAUUCGAUACGGGCAGGCUAGAGUGUGGUAGGGGAGAUCGGAAUUCCUGGUGUAGCGGUGAAAUGCGCAGAUAUCAGGAGGAACACCGGUGGCGAAGGCGGAUCUCUGGGCCAUUACUGACGCUGAGGAGCGAAAGCGUGGGGAGCGAACAGGAUUAGAUACCCUGGUAGUCCACGCCGUAAACGGUGGGAACUAGGUGUUGGCGACAUUCCACGUCGUCGKGCCGCAGCUAACGCAUUAAGUUCCCGCCUGGGGGAGUACGGCGCAGGCUAAACUCAAGGAAUGACGGGGGCCGCACAGCAGCGGAGCAUGUGGCUA